This 272-nucleotide ribosomal RNA is filed under the name uncultured Clostridium sp. Its description in RNAcentral is "partial 16S ribosomal RNA". It matches the Rfam family "Bacterial small subunit ribosomal RNA", at positions 70 to 339 of the family's 1533-position model. Lineage: Bacteria; Bacillati; Bacillota; Clostridia; Eubacteriales; Clostridiaceae. The record is from RNAcentral.
UGAAGUUUCCUUCGGGAAACGGAUUAGCGGCGGACGGGUGAGUAACACGUGGGUAACCUGCCUCAUAGAGUGGAAUAGCCUUUCGAAAGGGAGAUUAAUACCGCAUAAUGUUGAAAGAUGGCAUCAUCAUUCAACCAAAGGAGCAAUCCGCUAUGAGAUGGACCCGCGGCGCAUUGGCUAGUUGGUGGGGUAACGGCCUACCAAGGCGACGAUGCGUAGCCGACCUGAGAGGGUGAUCGGCCACAUUGGGACUGAGACACGGCCCAGACUCC